UUUCCUGUUUUGUUUCCUUUCUCUGGUGAAAGUAACCAUGACAACGCUGACUACCGUCUGUUAUCUCUGGGCUGUGAACUCUUCACUCACCUCCUCUUGCAGGACUCAGAAAGGAUCGUUUCUCGGCUUCAAGUUUCUUCUGUUGGAUUUUCCCAUCCAUAGUCCAGCACCACAUGUACUGUAAUAAUGCUGUCUGGAGCCAGACCCUCUUCCGCAGCGCUGUGGAUUUCUAAUAUCAACUAUCAUCACUUCAGUUACCUUGGUGUGUACAUCAC
Long non-coding RNA from Sander lucioperca (pikeperch), 275 nucleotides. RefSeq lists it as uncharacterized. NCBI's taxonomy places the organism in Eukaryota, Metazoa, Chordata, Actinopteri, Perciformes, Percidae. The transcript has 3 exons. The record is from RefSeq and is a predicted model, not a curated record.